Molecule: ribosomal RNA, 450 nt
Filed under: uncultured bacterium
Lineage: Bacteria
Description: partial 16S ribosomal RNA
Rfam family: Bacterial small subunit ribosomal RNA
Source: RNAcentral
CCUACGGGAGGCUGCAGUGGGGAAUUUUGCGCAAUGGGCGAAAGCCUGACGCAGCAACGCCGCGUGGGUGAUGAAGGUCUUCGGAUCGUAAAACCCUGUCGUUGGGGACGAAGGUGGGGGCGUUAAUAGCGUUUCUGCUUGACGGUACCCGGAGAGGAAGCCCCGGCUAACUCUGUGCCAGCAGCCGCGGUAAUACAGAGGGGGCAAGCGUUAUUCGAAAUUAUUGGGCGCGGAGGGUGCGUAGGCGGGUGUACUCCCCGAGCUCAACUUGGGAACUGCAUCUGAGACUGGAAGGAUAGAGUACUGGAGAGGGUGGUGGAAUUCCUCGUGUAGCGGUGAAAUGCGUAGAGAUGAGGGGGAACACCAGUGGCGAAGGCGGCCACCUGGACAGUAACUGACGCUGAGGCGCGAGAGUGUGGGUAGCAAACAGGGUUAGAUACCCUUGUAGUC